Molecule: long non-coding RNA, 214 nt
Filed under: Manihot esculenta (cassava)
Lineage: Eukaryota; Viridiplantae; Streptophyta; Magnoliopsida; Malpighiales; Euphorbiaceae
Description: long non-coding RNA (MESC_LNC011167)
Source: RNAcentral
ACCUCCCGAUAUUAACUUGAUUCUGAUCUGCUUAUCACAUUAGAUGCUUUAUUUUAAGAUAUGUCUGUUUUCUCAUUUGAGCUUUCUAUGAUUCAGUUAUUACAGCUUAAAGAUAUUAAAAUACUAUUAGUGGUCAUUCUUAUUUUAACUCUAUCUUUGCAUGUAUAACUCUAUAUGAAAUGCAAGUUGGACCUCUAAACACAAUUUUUAGUGC